GUCGCUUUGGGCAACUGAGGCGAUAGUGGCAAACGGGUGAGUAACACGUGGGUAACCAACCUUCGAGUGGGGAAUAACGAUCCGAUAGGUUUGCUAGUGCCGCAUGAGCUCCUUUCGUGGAGGUAGGGAGCUCAAGCGGUGUUGGGAGACGUUUCUGAGGGUCAUUAGGUAGUUGGGAGGGUGUAUUGGCCCCCCAAGCCGAUGACGGGUAGCUGAUUUGAGAGGAUGUACCAGCCACACUGGCUACUGAGACACGGGCCAGAGGACUACGGGAGGCAUGCAGUGUGAUCUUGUGAAUAACUCGAGUCUCCUGGAGAUCUGGG
This 323-nucleotide small RNA is filed under the name uncultured bacterium. RNAcentral's name for it is "bacterial SSU rRNA". The stretch from base 1 to 278 matches the Rfam family "Bacterial small subunit ribosomal RNA", at positions 68 to 350 of the family's 1533-position model. The record is from RNAcentral.